UGAGACCUUAAAAGGCUUUGGAAAGUCCUCCAAGGCUAGGAGAGAGCACAUUGGUUCCCAUGCACCAGCUCAGUGCCAAAACUUGGAACGGACAGAGGGUAAAUAUCCAGCCAGUAUCACAUGAGAAGUCGGGAGGAGGACCAGGAAAUGCAGUGGAACUGACACUCCCAGAAGAUAUACUCUGCAUGGUCCCUGGGCCCUGCAUCCCAUGGAGGUGGAGAGAGUCUUUCUCCCUGCUUUCCCUAAGGACAGCCCUCUCGAGUCCAUAAAGACCAUUUGCUGAGCAGCCACAAUUGAGAAAGAAUCAGGCAUGAGAGCCACACACAGAGCUGUGCUCACCGCAGUGAUGAUCCCAGAAACAAGGAAAGAGUGUGUGUCCUGAGCACUGGACAGGGGAUAUUUCUCACACACUAGAAUUCUGGGAAUCAAUUCUUUUGCUGUUUUAAACUGUUGAGUUGUAUUUCUCUGCACAUCCGGCUCUCCUACCUCCUUCAUUUCUUCCUGUGCAUCUAUGUUUCCCACACAGGGUUUCAAUCCUCCCA
This 542-nucleotide long non-coding RNA is filed under the name Fukomys damarensis (Damara mole-rat). RNAcentral's name for it is "lncRNA (ENSFDAG00000024168.1)". The record is from RNAcentral. Lineage: Eukaryota; Metazoa; Chordata; Mammalia; Rodentia; Bathyergidae.